RNAcentral lists this long non-coding RNA (6870 nucleotides) under Sus scrofa (pig). RNAcentral's name for it is "lncRNA (ENSSSCG00005008932.1)". Lineage: Eukaryota; Metazoa; Chordata; Mammalia; Artiodactyla; Suidae. The record is from RNAcentral.
UUUUUUUUUUUUUUUUUUUUGUCCAGUUCACUUUUUAAAUGAACUAGUUGUAACCCACUAAGUUGAUUUUGUAACCUAACUGGUUAUAGCCUGCUGUUUAGAAAACACUACGCAGAGGACCUCUUUGGUCCAACAUACUGUGACAUUCUGAGAUUCAGUUUUCUUCAUUAUGAUUUUUCUCACUCUUAAGCCAUUUUUCCACCAGUAAAACAAACUAGUUUGGGAAAGUCCUAAGAGUGGGAGGAAGAAAGGAAAAGGAUGCUAUUUUUACCACAUUCUGCUAUCUUCCUUGCUACUAAAUUUAGCAUUGUAUCGUUUAUUCCCUAUAACAUUUGCAAAUGCUCCACUUUAUGUUUCAGUUUUCUAAAAUGUAAAUUGCUCCUUGCUUUGUUUUUAUGAAAAUAUGCACUGAAAAAACACAAACUGGGUCUUUCCUAAGACUAUCUAAACUCAGUUUAUAUUUAAAAAUAAAACUCUUAUCUUUACCAAAUUCAAUUUGGUUUAUUUUAAAGAAGGAUGUGUUAAUCAUACAAGUUCUAUCGAGUCCAGCUAGGAAAAAGAAACCCAGGAAUUUACAUAGGGGAAGUCUGGUGUAAAGAAUCAUUGAUUCUGAUGGUGGGAGGUGGCUAAGAGAAACGGCAACAGCAGGCAGAAGGCACAGCCAGACCCCUGGAGGGGUGCGGCUGAGGCCUUCCGGAUGGCGGAGAACUGCACUUGAGGGCCAUGGUGGAUUGGGAAGCUGUGGGUCGCCUUUGGGGGGUGAGUGUGUGGUGCUGUUCUUGGGGGCCCACAGAGAGCUGUGGGCCCUGCUUCCUGUUCACUUCCUGUUGCACCAGCUGUCAAGGGAGAGAGUGUCCUAGUCUCUCCAGCAGGGCAGAGAAGGUUUGAAGCUGGAGGCCCUGGGUUGAGGAAUGGCGCACCAGCGUGCUUGCUAGAGCUGCCGUUUUCAAAGGGACAUUAUACUUAGGGGCAGAUUCUAUCAGGGUUGCAGUUCUAAUUUCGUGCAGUCAUGCUUUUAUUCUCUAGCAUCAUUUUUCUAUCUGAAAAAUCUACUGUUGAAUAACGCUUUUUUUGAGAAUUUACUUUUUAAAAUAAAGACUGAGUUUGUCGUUAUGUAGAAAAGGCAAGUCAGUCCCUUUGUGAUCUUUUCAGUGGGCAUGCAGUACACAGGUUUUGCAUUCACUGAGUACCUACUUUGUAAGCCAGGCCACAGAGCAGAGUGGUUUUCAGAAUACGAAAUGUUACUGCUCCUGAGGGAGGCAGGGAGAUGAUAAUCACAGUAUACGGUGAGAAGUGGUAUGGCUAUAGCGUGGGAUGGAGUGCUAGUCUGCCUGUGGGCUCUGGGGAAGGAAAAAGCACAGAUGUGUUACCUUUUAUUCUCUACAUGCUGUUUCUUUUAUUCCUCGCAGUCGUAUUCUGAAUAAGGUGGGUGGUACGAUUACCAUUAUAGACAUAAGCAGACAGGCACAGAGACCUGAAACCAUCGUCACACUCAGGAUCCACAUUUAGUCCGGUAUCUGUUAUCUCUUAAAUUGGUGAUGUACGUUGAAAUGCAGGAGGCAAUGAUAGUAAAAGUUUACCAAAUAUAGAACACAGGACUAAUAAUUUAAAAAGUGAAUUAGCUGUGUCCCUGCCCUUAAGGGGCCUGUAGUCCAGCAGUCCUGGUAGAAUGUCAUAGGGGCUCUGAUUGAGCUACUGGAGAAGCUUGGAAUUUCAUAGGGUCCAGAGUGCCUUCCUCCUCCUCGGAAAACUGAGGGUAAGAUGGCAUUUAAGCUGGUCUUCGAAAAAUGAACAGGGUUUAGACAAGUAGAAAUGGUGAAUAAUCAAAAUGUAAAGGCAGGAAAAAACAACCAGAAAGGUAGCUGUCAUUUAUUGUGCAUCUGCUAAGUGCCAUACCUUAUACCUUCCUCAGUAUAAGCCAUCCAGCUUCACUGUAGUAUAGACCAUGUGUCAGGCAGUUACUGGAAAUAAAAGAUAAGCUCAUUAGACGUGUUGGACCUAAGUAUUAGAUUGUGACAGGUUAAGGUAGAGUUUGAACUACAAACACAGUUGAAAAUACUGAAGUUUUUAAAGGAAAAAGUAUAGGACUGGAGUUACGACUAAAUUAUAAAUUAUCUACACACACACGUGUAUAUAUAUGUUCACGUUGUAAUAAGCAGCAGAGACAUCCUAGAUGUUACAUGUAAUCCUUUCCUUCUAGCUUCUCAUUCAUCUCUGCUGAAGCCCUGUGUAGGACAGAUUAGCAAGAUGGGCUGUAGGUAGACGAUUAUUACAGUGGUCCAGGUAGGAGGUAGUAAAGGCCUCAUCUAAAGCAACAGUAGUGAAAAUGAAAAGUUUAUUGGUGACAGUUGGAAUUAACAGGAUUUAGACAGGAUGUUGUAGGGGCUGAAAAAAUAAAAGGUGAAGGUAGUUUUCAGGCACUUUUCCAUCUCAGGAGUACGUACUCCAAAUGUGGGCUAUUUUUCAAUUAUUUUUAAUAUAAAAGUAAUGAUGCACAUGAGUGUAUUUAAACUUGUGGAAGGGCAGAAGAUUGGAUAUGGGGCAGGUGAAAGAUGACAUUAUACCAAGAGAAACAGGUCAAGGGAAGUACAGAGUUUAAAACUUUAUAUAGCCUACUGCUUUCUCCCCUGCUCUGUGUGUCUCUCCAUUUCUCAUAAGGACCUGUGUCACAGAAUUCACCAACCUGAAUCCAGGCUGAUCUCAUCUCAGAAUCCUUAAUUAUAUCUGCAAAGGUCCUUUUUCCAAAAUAAGGUCACAUCCACAGUUUCUAGGGGUUGGGACUUGAACAUCCCUCUUUGGGAACCACUUUUUAACCUACUGCAAUAAGCCACCAGGUGAAUACCUAAUUGCAGUCAUUGAGAAGAUUGCUGCCUUAGAUUCCAGGGGAGGAGGUGUAGAAAUCAACAGCAUGAAAACAACACUGUAGUCGUUUUAUUUAAAAGAAAAUUAUAGAUUGUGAAUAUUUUCUUCAAUUUCAGAAAACAUGUAUUUAAAAAUUUGAAGUUGAGGUCAGAUUAGUUUGGUUGGAGAUUUUGUUCCUCAGCUCUAUUUAUCUUGAAGAAUCCUCUAGCAUUUUUAUUAAAACUUAAGCAAAAUUCAAACUUUUUGUAUUUGAGCCUUAAGAUAAUUCCUUUGAAUGUUUUGUUUUUCCCAUUUUACAGAUGCGGAAAUGGAGCUUAGUUUCUGUAACUAAUUUGUCUGAGGUUACAAGAUACAAAACAAUACAGAUGUACUUGAAUGCUGGUGUUACUGUAAAGCUUGUGUUCUUUCUGAUGUACCAUGCUGAGUUUAUUAAUUUUGUAUUUUAAAAUAGAGUUUAUUUUCCAUGUUUCACAGAUUUCUCAAUUUGGGAUGUUAGCAAAAAGAAUAAAAUUUUAUUCUGUACAGCAGGGGGAAAAAAAAGAAUAGAAUUUUCCAUGUUUGCAAAAUAAGCUACUGACAUUUAAACCAACUUGCCACAUCUCUCCAUGAUCUGUGUUUGAGGUCUGUCUUUUGUAUGACUUUAAAACACAUAGUUCUUCAGCGAAUUACUUUCACUGAUGAUGAGAGGUCAUUCAUUCAUGGAACUUUUGUUACUUUCUGUUUUGAGGGCCCAGUGUUGUAGAGAACAGUAUACAGCCAUGAUUUCAGGAUGACAGUUGGACAGAACUUUAUUUGAUAGUGAGGAGUUGACCCUGGAACUUUUUAUACCUUUGCUUUUCCUACGUUUUUUAAAUUAAAGCUGUUUGUCUUAUGAUUUUAAAAAUGGAGCCAUCAUCAAUUUUUUUUUUUAAUUAAUUGUCUUGAAGUUAGUGGAAGUUGGCCUAGGACUAGGGAAAUAAACUUAGGCUAGUGUUCCUUGUGGAGAACGACUCAUUGCCUCAGUGGGAGCAUCUCUGGGGUGGGGUUUUAGGAUUCUGUUUUGUUUUUUGUUUGUUUGUUUUUGUCUUUUCUAUGGUCGAACCUGCAGCAUAUAGAAGUUCCCAGGCUAGGAGUCUAAUCGGAGCUGUAGCCGCCGGCCUAUGCCAGAGCCACAGCAACAUGGGAUCCGAGCUGCGUCUGUGACCUACAACCACAGUUCACGGCAACGCCAGAUCCUUAAGUCACUGAGUGAGGCCAGGGAUCACAAACCCGCAACCUCAUGGUUCCUAAUUGGAUUCGUUAACCACCGAGCCACAAUGGGAACGCCUGGGAUUCUAAAUUUUUAAUGAGUGUUAUUUUGUAUUUGUUUGGCAUGGAUAUAUAGUAUUCAGGUAUUUAGUUCUCACCACAACACUCCAGUCCUAGUGAGGCCAGUGUCUUGGACCCUGAAUAAAGGAAGAAGGUACAGUGACUUCAUGGUAGGAUCAUUAACGCAUUAAUUUGUAUUAAUUACAGAGCCAUCAAGUAGCUAAAGCAGUAUUGAGAAAGAAGAACAAAGCUGGAGGCACCAUGCUUCCUGAUUUCAAAAUAAAAAUCUGUCAUACUCAAAAUGGUAUGGCAUUGGUAUAGAAACACACAUAAAUGGAACACUAUAGAGAACCCAGAAAUAAACCCACACAUUUAUGGCCAGUUAAUUUAUGACAAAGGAGUCAAGAAUAUACAGUGAGGAAAGAACAGUAUCUUCGUUCAGUGGGAAAAACUGAACAGCCAGGUAGGCAAGAAUGAAAUUGGACCACUAUUUUAUACCAUACACAAAAAUCAACUCCAAAUGGACCAAAGACUUGAAUGUGAGACCUGAAACCAUAAAACUCCUAGAAGAGAACAUAGAUGGAAAGCUCCUUGACAUCAAUCUUGGUGAAGAUUUUUUUUUGGCUCUGACUACAAAAGCAAAAAUAACAAAUGGGGAGUUCCCAUCAUGGCUCAGUGGAAACAAAUCUGACUAGUAUCCAUGAGGAGGCAGAUUCAAUCCCUGGUCCUACUAGUGGGUUAAGGAUUCGGCGUUGCCAUGAGCUAUGGUGUAGGUUGCAGAAACGUCUUCCAUCCUGUGUUGCUCUGGCUAUGAUAUAGGGCACCAGCUGUAGCUCCAAUUUGACCCCCAGCCUGGGAACUUCCUUAUGUGUGGAUGCAGCCCUAAAAAGCAAAAAUAAACAGAUGGGACUCCAUCAAACUGAGUAGCUUCUGCCCUAGCAAAGAAAGCAUGCAGAGACCAGUGGUUUAUUCAGGGUUAACUAAGUAACGCUGCGCUACAGGGUACUGACAGUUCAGUCAGAAUCUCUGGGGGAUGAGGCCUGAUAGGGAUGUGGGGAUUUUCUGGUAAAGAUCAAAAACUUCUGAUGGGUAGUAAGUGGUUGGGAAUGUGAGCUACUUCCCACAGACUCGCCAGGGAAGGUGCCUGUGGUGGUGAGAAGCCAGCCAUGGGAGUCUGUCUACAUGGAGAGAGGGAAGAGGGUGAGUGAAGGCCUUGUAGGUUCCAGGUGUGGACUGAAAACAGGUGGUAGGAGAUGGAUUUGGAGAGGCCACUUUUACGUUGGCUCUGUGUCUAUUUAAUUCUGUAUUUAUAAAAAGAAUGAUGUGCUUUUACAAAAACAAAUAGGUCUUUUGUGCCGGUUCUUCUUUUCUGUGUAUGGCUUUAAACGCCAUCUUAACACCAUCUCAUGCCGAUGGUUCCAUAACGUAUACCUUUAACCUGAGCAUCUUUCCUGAGGUCUCCAUCAUAUAUCCAAUUGCUUCCUCAGCGUUACCACUGGGAUGUCUAAUAAACAUGUCAACUCCGAAUAACCAAACUGGAACUCAUGGUCUUUCCUACUCUACCUACAAUUUUCCCCAUCUCAUUGAUUCUUCCAGAUGAGGCAGAACUGUUGGAACCAUAACUCAGUGUACUUUUUCUCAGAACUCUCGGCCACACUAUGAACGAAUUCUCUUGACUCUGCUUCAGAGUGUGUACAGAAUAUAGUCACUUGUAACCACCUCCGUUGCUACUGGCUCUAAGUUCUUGUCUCAUUGGCAAAGCCUCCUUAGCUGGUCUCUGCUUCCACUCUCAUCUGCCUCUAUGUAGAGACUAUUCUUAUUGUAGCAGCUGGACUAAUUAUUUUAGAAUUUAAGUCCAAUUAUAUUACUCUUCUCCUCAGAACCCUCCAGUGAAUCUCCCAUCUUUAUCACAAGUCAUUAAAAAGUCCUGUGGGGUGUAUGUGACUAGGCCCCUGAAAGUCCUGCAACCUCAGCUCUUAGGGGCAUGACUCUCCCUUUCUUCUAAGCUUUAGCUUCAUCAGCCUCGUUGCAGCUUCUCAACACACCCCCACCUUGCAGCCUUACUACCCCUACUACACAAGGGAAUAGUUGUAAUUAUAAAUUAAACUUUGUUAUGUAUAAAAUUUAUUUUAAUAUUUAGAGGGUUUUUUCCCAAUGAAGUCCAGUAAAGGAUUUUUGAUUCCUGUUUAUGUUGAAAUUUUGGUCCCUAGUGUAUGGGUUUCAUUUUGGAGGUAUAUUUUCUUCUCCCAGAAAAUAGGAGAAACUUCCUUAAAGAAAACCUCAGAUUUGGACAGAAGUUUAGUCAUUUCUUGUGCUGAAAUAGCUAUUUUCUCUAUUCCAGAUAUUUCAGAGAGUCAUAAGUUCCAAAAGUCCAUUUAAAAAUCUAGACUCAAUUUAGAGCAUUUUUCAAAUGUAGGAAGUGUGAUAUUUUGGUAAAAGAUCUCCUUUCUGCAUAUCUGAUCAAUUGAUAGAGAUUAGAAAGAAUUUCUCGGAGUUCCCGUCAUGGCGCAGUGGUUAAUGAACCCGACUAGGAACCAUGAGGUUGCAGGUUCGAUCCCUGCCCUUGCUUAGUGGGUUGAGGAUCCGGUGCUGCCGUGAGCUGUGGUGUAGGUCGCAGAUGCGGCUCAGAUCCAGCGUUGCUGUGGCUCUGGUGUAGGCCGGCGGCUGCAGCUCCGAUUCGACCCCUAGCCUGGGAACCUCCAUAUGCUGAGGGAGUGGCCC